GAGGAAGGCCUUUUAAUUGCAGCAGCAAAACACACACGGUUGGAUUGGGUUUUCAUUUGCUCACUAUUUCUUCACACAAGUAUGAGAUGGACUUCAGUGUGAGACACACAGAAGAAAAUACAGACUGUGUCCAGACACCCAAUCACAGUAUCACAGCAAGGAAUCUGAUAAAUGCUGCAAGUGUACCUUUGGUAGAGGAGCACACAAUGGUGUUGUGUCCACCACCUUCCCACCUAUCCACAAGCUCACCUUAGAACAAGCUGCUGAAUAUGAUGGAGGAAACAUGAAGUUAUAAUUUCAUUCUGAGAAACUCCUUGUACUGCAGUACAGUCAGGAGAAGACAAACUACACCAACCAGUUACCAUAUUCUGUGAUUUAAAAGUCGAGCAUCACAGACAUUAACUUUGUCAGCUCCUGUGAAAGGGUAAGUACAUGCUUUAGGUGAGAGUUUACAGUGCCAUAUAAGCUAAAUAAGUAGAGUAUCAGGUAGAUAGGUUGACAGGUAUGUAAGGUACCAGGUGGGAGACAAGAGGGCCAGGCAAGUGAUGGAGCUGCUGAGGGUAGGUUCAGGGUGUGUGGAAGGUCUGG
Molecule: non-coding RNA, 588 nt
Organism: Chiloscyllium plagiosum (whitespotted bambooshark)
Lineage: Eukaryota; Metazoa; Chordata; Chondrichthyes; Orectolobiformes; Hemiscylliidae
Source: RefSeq, a predicted model, not a curated record